Molecule: unclassified non-coding RNA, 312 nt
Filed under: Hevea brasiliensis (rubber tree)
Lineage: Eukaryota; Viridiplantae; Streptophyta; Magnoliopsida; Malpighiales; Euphorbiaceae
Source: RNAcentral
AUUUUUUAUAUUACUAUUAUAAAAUUUGGAUUAAUCCAACGGGUUGACUUGAUAAACUAGUGAUCUGAACAUAAAAUCAAAUCGAUUUUUCAUUAUAAGAGAUUCACCUGGAAAAAAUUAAAUGACCCGAAGAGCCAAAAAAUAAUUAAUCAAAUUAAAAAACUAAAUAAAAAUUUGAAAGGAAUUCAAGCAUUCUUUCCAGUAUAAAAAAUUUAACUAAGUAAAAAGAAAAAAGAAAAAUGAAAUUGCAUGUAAAAAGAUUUUCAAAAUAUAUUAUGUAAAAAUAAAAUAAAAAAAUUACAAAACAAAAAA